Molecule: ribosomal RNA, 447 nt
Filed under: uncultured bacterium
Lineage: Bacteria
Description: partial 16S ribosomal RNA
Rfam family: Bacterial small subunit ribosomal RNA
Source: RNAcentral
AACGAACGCUGGCGGCAGGCUUAACACAUGCAAGUCGAGCGCCCCGCAAGGGGAGCGGCAGACGGGUGAGUAACACGUGGGAACCUUCCUAGAGGUACGGAACAACUCAGGGAAACUUGAGCUAAUACCGUAUACGCUCUUGCGAGGAAAGAUUUAUCGCCUUUAGACGGGCCCGCGUCGGAUUAGCUAGUUGGUGGGGUAACGGCCUACCAAGGCGACGAUCCGUAGCUGAUCUGAGAGGAUGAUCAGCCACACUGGGACUGAGACACGGCCCAGACUCCUACGGGAGGCAGCAGUGGGGAAUCUUGGACAAUGGGCGCAAGCCUGAUCCAGCCAUGCCGCGUGAGUGAAGAAGGCCUUCGGGUUGUAAAGCUCUUUUGCCAGGGACGAUAAUGACGGUACCUGGAGAAUAAGCCCCGGCAAACUUCGUGCCAGCCGCCGCGGUAA